GGUUAAGCUACUAAGAGCGCACGGAGGAUGCCUAGGCACUAGGAGCCGAAGAAGGACGUGGCGAACAACGAAAUUGCCUCGGGGAGCCGUAAGCAGGCUUUGAUCCGGGGAUGUCCGAAUGGGGAAACCCGGCUGCGGUAAUGCGCAGUCACUUCUUACUGAAUACAUAGGUAAGUAGAGGCAUACCAGGGGAACUGAAACAUCUAAGUACCCUGAGGAAGAGAAAACAAUAGUGAUUCCGUCAGUAGCGGCGAGCGAACGCGGAUUAGCCCAAACUUACGCAUUUAUGCGUAGGGGUUGUAGGACGUCUCACAUGGAGUUACAAAGGUGUUGGUUAGGCGAAGAGGUCUGGAAAGGCCCGCUAGAAGAGGUAAAAGCCCUGUAACCAAAAGUCAGCACCCUCCGAGACGGAUCCUGAGUACGGCGGGACACGUGAAACCCCGUCGGAAUCCGGCAGGACCAUCUGCCAAGGCUAAAUACUCCCUAGUGACCGAUAGCGAAGCAGUACCGUGAGGGAAAGGUGAAAAGCACCCCGGAAGG
RNAcentral lists this non-coding RNA (540 nucleotides) under Paenibacillus curdlanolyticus YK9. RNAcentral describes it as "Bacterial large subunit ribosomal RNA". It matches the Rfam family "Bacterial large subunit ribosomal RNA", at positions 1 to 534 of the family's 2925-position model. Lineage: Bacteria; Bacillati; Bacillota; Bacilli; Caryophanales; Paenibacillaceae. The record is from Rfam by way of RNAcentral.